UUAAUUUAUUUUAUGUAGAAAUGUAUAAGUUGAACUUAUAACACGGCAUCCAUCUUUUCAAUAAUUCAGCCCUCAAACUUCUAAAGCUCCAAGUUCGCCUAAAAAAGAAUGUAGUAAACAAAACAAUUUUGUAUAAUUACGAGCAAUUAUUGAAAGAGUGUAAUUGAUUCUCAUUACCGUACCAUAUUGGAAAAUCAAUUUGCCUGUACUAUCCUUCUUUCAUCAAAAUGGUCGGCCGAAGGGAUCUCCUUGAUAUUGAGAGGGUCUUGAUAGUCAGCGGACACAUUCAGACCUUUAAAAGGUGUCGCGUUUUUUGGAAGCUCGUUCAACAGCUGAGAGCAAUUUACAUACCCCUUCUAGAGCCGUUGGCACUUUACGCUGUAUAUCUUGGAGGAAUAGAAGGUCUUUACAAAUACGCUUUUUUCUCCAUUGCCGGCAUCUUAAUGUCUCAGCAUGCUUUGUAUUUUUUAACUAGGGAGAAAGAAGUGCUCGACGUUAUAAAAGAUUUCAAAGAUCUUUUUGCUAGACGGAACAAAACCUGGCACUUAGAGAUAUUCAAUAAAGAGUCAAAGCCUUUAUGGCGUGUUGUUAACUUAUAUCUAAUCACAUGCGUCAUAUUUAUUUUCUUCCAUAGCUUCAUGCCAUUUCUUUUCGACUUUUACUUGGCUCUCUUCACCGAAGCUAGACCGUUUUCUUUGCCAACUCCUGCUGACCCUUACAUUGGUGAAAACCCUCAUCGAAGCCUUAGUUACUACCUGACAUAUUUCGCGGGCUCUGUAUGGUCCGGUUUCUUGACUUGGCACUCGACAGGAACUGAGUGCAUGUGUUUCGUAUUUUCAACAUACCUCAACAUCGAGUUGAAAAUAAUAAAUAAGAACAUUGAAACUCUUGGGGAAUGUUUUCAAAACAAGAAUUUCGAUCAUAAAGCGAAAUUGAGGCAAAUCAUAAGAGAACACCAAGAUAUUUUAAAGUGAGUAUUCAAAAAUGCGUUUUGGCAGUAAUAGGAACAAAAUUCAAUCCUCUUACACUUUCUGUAAGUUUAUAACAUUAUUUUAUAAAAUGUGCUAAUUUUGAGAUUUUUCUCUUAAAUUAGUGGAAAAAACUACAGAGGAGCAUCUUUAAUUUGAAAAAAAAAAAAUGCGGAUGUAAAAUACAUAGCUAUUAAUCUGCCUAUAGUGCAAUCUUUUUCCCUUUUAGUUUAAAAUAUUGUAACAGCAUAAUUUUUUUUUUUUUUUUUUUUUUUGAGAACUGACAAUUUUCAGAUUAAGAGGUAAAGUCAAUAAUUUGCUUGGAGCUCCGCUUGUAUUUCAAAAUGUGAUAAGCACCCUGACAAUAACUCUCCUCGUGUUUACUGCCACUGUACAAAUCAAAGUGAGGAACUACCCUGUAGCUUUUGGAGCAAUGUUUCCAUUCAACUGCUUCGUUUGGAUCAUAUUUGUCAUAUGCUUCCUAGGAGAAUCACUGCAAGAAAAUAGUUUGAAUUUAUCCGAAAGCCUAUACAAACUUCCCUGGUAUGAGAUGGAUGUCGAAACUAGGAAAAUUUUGUUGAUGAUGAUCAGACAGACAUCUAAACCGAUGGUGUAUGACUACAAAAACAGCAGUGCCAUAACAUUGGUCACAUUCCAAAAGAUGGUAAAUGAAAGCUACUCAUACUUAAUGGUUCUUCAAAGCCUGCAAUGAAUAUAAAGUUUAAAAUUUACCUUCUCACAAUAAAUUAGUUGCAAAUUUAAUAUUUUAACUCACUCUAUAAAUUCACUCGUGUUUAACAAUUAAUUAUGCAAUA
Molecule: long non-coding RNA, 1783 nt
Organism: Cimex lectularius (bed bug)
Lineage: Eukaryota; Metazoa; Arthropoda; Insecta; Hemiptera; Cimicidae
Exons: 4
Source: RefSeq, a predicted model, not a curated record